This 445-nucleotide ribosomal RNA is filed under the name uncultured bacterium. Its description in RNAcentral is "SSU rRNA". It matches the Rfam family "Bacterial small subunit ribosomal RNA", at positions 26 to 518 of the family's 1533-position model. The record is from RNAcentral.
AGAACGAACGCUGGCGGCAGGCUUAACACAUGCAAGUCGAACGCCCCGCAAGGGGAGUGGCAGACGGGUGAGUAACGCGUGGGAAUCUACCCAGUUCUACGGAAUAACACAGGGAAACUUGUGCUAAUACCGUAUACGCCCUACGGGGGAAAGAUUUAUCGGGAUUGGAUGAGCCCGCGUUGGAUUAGCUAGUUGGUGGGGUAAUGGCCUACCAAGGCGACGAUCCAUAGCUGGUCUGAGAGGAUGAUCAGCCACACUGGGACUGAGACACGGCCCAGACUCCUACGGGAGGCAGCAGCGGGGAAUAUUGGACAAUGGGCGCAAGCCUGAUCCAGCCAUGCCGCGUGAGUGAUGAAGGCCUUAGGGUUGUAAAGCUCUUUCAGUGGGGAAGAUAAUGACGGUACCCACAGAACGAAGCCCCGGCUAACUUCGUGCCAGCAGCCGC